Molecule: ribosomal RNA, 255 nt
Filed under: uncultured bacterium
Lineage: Bacteria
Description: partial 16S ribosomal RNA
Rfam family: Bacterial small subunit ribosomal RNA
Source: RNAcentral
UACGUAGGGUGCGAGCGUUGCCCGGAUUUAUUGGGCGUAAAGGGCGCGUAGGCGGCCACGCACGUCCGUUGUGAAAUCGCCCGGCUCAACUGGGCGGGGUCAGCGGAUACGGUGUGGCUCGAGCAAGCUAGGGGGCAAUGGAAUUCCCGGUGUAGUGGUGGAAUGCGUAGAGAUCCGGAAGAACACCGGUGGCGAAGGCGGCCUGCUGGGCAGUAUAGCUGACACUGAGGCGCGACAGCGUGGGGAGCAAACAGG